Molecule: small nucleolar RNA, 131 nt
Organism: Molossus molossus (Pallas's mastiff bat)
Lineage: Eukaryota; Metazoa; Chordata; Mammalia; Chiroptera; Molossidae
Source: RefSeq, a predicted model, not a curated record
GUUGAGGUCUAUCCCAAUGGGCCUUUUUCUGUAGACUUACAUUGUAAGAAAUGCCUUGUAGAGUAAAUAUGUUGCUUCCCUUAUUCACAGAACUAUGUGUUAGAUCUGUGGGAAGGAACUACAAGACAGAA